This 475-nucleotide ribosomal RNA is filed under the name uncultured anaerobic ammonium-oxidizing bacterium. RNAcentral's name for it is "bacterial SSU rRNA". It matches the Rfam family "Bacterial small subunit ribosomal RNA", at positions 365 to 832 of the family's 1533-position model. The record is from RNAcentral.
UUCGCAAUGCCCGAAAGGGUGACAAUGCGACGCCGCGUGAGCGAUGAAGGCCUUCGGGUUGUAAAGCUCUGUCAGCUGGGAUGAAGAUCCGCGGGGUAACACUCCGCGUAUUUGACGGUACCAGCAGAGGAAGCCACGGCUAACUCCGUGCCAGCAGCCGCGGUAAUACGGAGGUGGCAAGCGUUGUUCGGAUUUACUGGGUGUAAAGGACAUGUAGGUGUCCUUCCAAGUCGGGUGUGAAAUCCUAUGGCUUAACCAUAGAACUGCGCUCGAUACUAGAAGGAUUGAGUACGUGAGAGGUAAGCGGAAUUCCAGAAGUAAGGGUGAAAUCUGUAAAUAUCUGGAGGAACACCAUUAGCGAAGGCGGCUUACUGGUACGAUACUGACACUGAAAUGUGAAAGCUAGGGGAGCAAACAGGAUUAGAUACCCUGGUAGUCCACGCCGUAAACGAUGGGCACUAAGUAGAGGGGUUUU